Cricetulus griseus (Chinese hamster) is the source of this 1130-nucleotide non-coding RNA. NCBI's taxonomy places the organism in Eukaryota, Metazoa, Chordata, Mammalia, Rodentia, Cricetidae. The record is from RefSeq and is a predicted model, not a curated record.
AGGAGGAGGCGGCGAAUCACUUAUAAAUGGCGCCCAAGCAGGACCUGAAGCCCAAAUUCCAGGAGGGUGAGAGAGUGCUGUGCUUUCAUGGGCUUCUAGUCUAUGAAGCAAAGUGUGUAAAGGUUGCCAUAAAGGACAAACAAGUGAAAUACUUUAUCCAUUACAGUGGUUUGAAUAAAAAAAGUGCUGGGAGGCCCAGGCGCUCUGAAAAAUCUUUGAAGACACGUGAGGAUAUUGUAGCCCCUUUUCCUGUUCCUGAAGGAGCUCCCUCAGUACACCACCCCCUCCAGACCUCUAGUUGGGAUGAAUGGGUUCCAGAAAGCCGAGUACUCAAAUAUGUGGACACCAAUUUGCAGAAACAGCGAGAGCUUCAAAAGGCCAAGCAGGAACAGUAUGCAGAGGGCAAGAUGAGAGGGGCUGCUCCAGGAAAGAAGACAUCUGGUCUGCAACAGAAAAAUGUUGAAGUGAAAACAAAAACGACCAAGCAGAAAACACCCAGAAAUGGAGAUGGUGGCAGUACCAGUGAGACACCUCAGCCUCUUAGGAAGAAAAGAGCCCGGGUAGAUCCAACUGUUGAAAAUGAAGAAACAUUCAUGAACAGAGUUGAAGUUAAAGUAAGGUAAAGUAAAGGUCCUGGAAGAGCUGAAACCAUGGCUGGCGGAUGACUGGGACUUGAUCACCAGACAAAAACAGCUUUUUUAUCUUCCUGCCAAGAAGAAUGUGGAUUCCAUUUUGGAGGAUUAUGCAAACUAUAAGAAGUCUCGAGGAAAUACAGAUAAUAAGGAAUAUGCUGUUAAUGAGGUUGUGGCAGGGAUAAAGGAGUACUUCAAUGUAAUGCUGGGCACUCAGCUACUCUACAAAUUUGAGAGACCACAGUACACUGAGAUUCUUGCAGAUCGCCUGAUGCACCCAUGUCCCAGGUGUAUGGAGCACCACAUUUACUGAGAUUACUUAUGCGAAUUAGAGCGAUGUUGGCCUAUACACCUCUAGAUGAGAAAAGUCUUGCUUUAUUACUGAACUGUCUACAUGAUUUCCUCAAGUACCUGGCAAAGAAUUCUGCAACUUUGUUCAGUGCCAGUGAUCAUGAAGUGGCUCCUCCUGAGUACCAUCGGAAAGCCGUGUGAGGGGCA